Molecule: ribosomal RNA, 279 nt
Filed under: uncultured bacterium
Lineage: Bacteria
Description: partial 16S ribosomal RNA
Rfam family: Bacterial small subunit ribosomal RNA
Source: RNAcentral
UGCCAGCAGCCGCGGUAAUACAGAGGCCCCAAGCAUUAUCCGGAUUCACUGGGCGUAAAGGGUGCGUAGGCGGUGUUAUUAGUCGGGUGUUAAAUCCUUGGGCUCAACCCAAGAAUCGCAUUCGAAACGGUAACACUAGAAGUAGUCAGAGGCUAACAGAGCUCUCGGUGUAGCGGUGAAAUGCGUAGAUAUCGGGAAGAACACCAGUGGCGAAGGCGCUCUGCUGGGCCAUCACUGACGCUCAUGGACGAAAGCCAGGGGAGCGAAAGGGAUUAGAUA